RNAcentral lists this ribosomal RNA (367 nucleotides) under Bombina variegata (yellow-bellied toad). RNAcentral describes it as "partial 12S ribosomal RNA". It matches the Rfam family "Bacterial small subunit ribosomal RNA", at positions 845 to 1385 of the family's 1533-position model. Lineage: Eukaryota; Metazoa; Chordata; Amphibia; Anura; Bombinatoridae. The record is from RNAcentral.
CUAUGACUCAAUACAAAACACCAUCCGCCCGGGAACUACGAGCCCUAGCUUAAAACCCAAAGGACUUGGCGGUGCCCCACCCACCUAGAGGAGCCUGUUCUAUAAUCGAUAACCCCCGCUUAACCUCACCACUUCUUGCCAAUACCGCCUAUAUACCACCGUCGCCAGCCCACCCCGUGAGGGAACAGUAGGCACAAUGAUCAAUCACCAAAACGUCAGGUCAAGGUGUAGCGUAUGAAGUGGGAAGAAAUGGGCUACAUUCUCUAACCUAGAGCACACGAAAAAUCAUAUGAAAUUAGAUUAGAAGGAGGAUUUAGUAGUAAAAAGAAACAAUAGUGUUCUUUUUAAGCUGGCCCUGGGGCGCGCA